CGGGGAUUAGUUUAACGGUAGAAUACGCGGCUGGGGGCCGUGCGGCGACAGUUCAAUUCUGUCAUCCCCGACCA
Molecule: transfer RNA, 74 nt
Filed under: Candidatus Beckwithbacteria bacterium
Lineage: Bacteria; Candidatus Beckwithiibacteriota
Description: tRNA-Pro
Rfam family: tRNA
About the family: Transfer RNA (tRNA) molecules are approximately 80 nucleotides in length. Their secondary structure includes four short double-helical elements and three loops (D, anti-codon, and T loops).
Source: RNAcentral